This 1676-nucleotide long non-coding RNA is filed under the name Selaginella moellendorffii. RNAcentral describes it as "long non-coding RNA (SMOE_LNC001498)". The record is from RNAcentral. Lineage: Eukaryota; Viridiplantae; Streptophyta; Lycopodiopsida; Selaginellales; Selaginellaceae.
GCGGCUGAAGCAGCUCAAGACCAGGAUCAUCACUGGCACCGACUCCAUCGACAAGUUACGAGCCAAGUUGGUUGCAGCAGCCAGGUCAUCUUCCUCUUCUUCGUACUCGUCGUCUUCCUCGUCCUCGUCGCACAGCAGGACUCGAGUGAACCUGGAUUCUCCUGUCCAAGCACCUGAAGGGCUUUCAACCCAAAAUCCUCCAUCUCCCGUUGUCCAGGUAAACUCUUUUGGUUUUAGUAACUCCACCUUUAGUUUCAGCCGGCACCACACCGUCCUCAGCACGUCGCACCAGCAGCAAAGCCGGAUAACAGGGCCGAGCUCUUCGAACUGGUGAAGAACGGCCUCGUCAAAAACGCCUUUGAGAAAGCUCUGUCCCUGAACGAUCCUUCCACGGUCUGGUGGCUUUGCACCAAGGUAAUCCAUUCACGUCCUCCAGCUGCUCAUCAAAGCUUUGUCAGCUCAGUUGGAGGUUAGCAUCCUGCCCGCCUUCAGUGAAUCAAUGCUCAUGGAAGUGGCCGAGCAAAUCAACACCAACUUCAAGGAAGACACUGCUCGCAGGUUGCUCUGGUUCGCCGAGAUCCUGUUCAUCUUGCUGUACGUCAACGUCAAUGGACAGACAUCACCUCGGAUGCAGAGGAUCUUGGAGGAGCUUUCACAGAACCUCCACGGCAUGAUGGCUAUAACACCGUCAAAGAGCGAGCUGGGGACGGAGCUGGCGGACGUGCUGAAAAGAACCAACGUGGGUCUUCGGGUUCGUAUGAAGCUCUUCGUGUUAUUCGUUUGAUUCAAAUCGUUUGUCGUCGCAGCGUAUCCGAUAUGGGAACAAACUUCAGAAGAAAGGGAAAAGAAAACUGUGAAAUAAAAAAGCUAUAUAUUUCCAGCGGAACACCGGUAGUUUAUGAGUAUUGAGAUGUUCUAAUUUUCUGCCUGCCAAAAGUAUCAACCAUGCUUCACGAAAGAACCAUAAAGAACUUACCAAUUCCCAUUCGUAACUUCGUCUCAUCCUGCUGGGGAAAAUGUGAAGGAAACUUACGAGAUAAAUAUCAAAGCACAAAGGUCUCACCAUUCUUUACUUCUUAAACUCGAGUAGACGGUGAAGAUCCCAACCUUUUCUAUCUGGCAGCAGCAGUAGCAGCCUUGGCAGCUUCCGGAUCAUCGCUCUCCGCUCAAAGAACGAUUUUCCAGAAACUUCAUGGCACCAGAAGUGUGGACCAGCGAGCGCUACACGAAGAAGGCCGACGUUUACAGCUACGGGAUGCUGAGCUACCAGCUUGUCACUGGAAACACUCCGUUCAAGGUCGGGAUGGACAUGGAGCAAGUCCUUCGAGGCGAGCGUCCUGAGAUACCAGCCACCUGUCCAGAGUUCCUGUCGCAGCUCAUGCGGGAAUGCUGGAGCCACGAUGCAAAAGAGAGGCCUUCCUUCUCCGAUAUCUGCAAGCGGCUGAAGCAGCUCAAGUCCAGGAUCAUCACUGGCACCGACACCAUCGACGAGCUACGAGCCAAGUAGGUUGAAGCAGCCAGGUCAUCUUCCUCUUCUUCGUACUCGUCGUCUUCCUUGUCCUCGUUGCACAGCAGGACUCGAGUGAACCUGGAUUCUCUUGUCCAAGCGACUGAGAAGCUCUGGACCCAAAAUCCCCCGCCUUGUCGUGUCCAGGUAAACUCUUUUGCUUUAUGUA